This is a long non-coding RNA of Nematostella vectensis (starlet sea anemone), 703 nucleotides long. RefSeq lists it as uncharacterized. NCBI's taxonomy places the organism in Eukaryota, Metazoa, Cnidaria, Anthozoa, Actiniaria, Edwardsiidae. The transcript is spliced from 2 exons. The record is from RefSeq and is a predicted model, not a curated record.
CCGAGACUGGGAUCAAACACACCUAAACACGAGAUCACAUUGCUACUUAUUAAUCGAAAAUACAUUCAAGCUCCCAACGUCUCAGCAGUAUUGAUUCUUGACAGCUAGUAAUUUUGAACCUGGAUGGCAAGGGAACGGCACUGUCCAAUUCCUGCAGAAUCUACAAAGAGUCAAAGCAUACCUGUUUGGCUGGAAGCAGACGGCGUCAAAGCCUGUGAUCUCGCAAAAGUCUUUCUCAAACUCAUCAUACAGUUGUAAGUAUCCCUUUGCUUGUUGAAUUGGAGCAUAAGGAUGAAUGUCCGCAAAGCGAGGCCAAGUAAUCGGCAUCAUCUCCGUUGUACUGUUCAGCUUCAUUGUACAAGAUCCCUGCAUCAAACAACACCAUGUUUCGGAAAAUCUGAGGCAUUUCAGGUAUGGUGCAUUGAAUCAGCCUCCAUGGGGAAGAUCUUUUAACCUUAAGACGUUGCUUUUUUAAGGGUGCCAAGUCAAGACGCUUACUUUAAUUUCCUACUUACUAGAGGUAUCAUUGAGUGGACGAGGGAGAUGUCUUUGUUUUCCAGCAGCUUCAUGUAACGCACAACGUUAGUUUCUGCAUGAUGUGUGUUGAAGACUGGAUGGGUCAAGAAGCUGCUAAGCCUUUUAAAGGGGCUAUUGAGUAGGCUUUUAUGGGGAACUUCAGCUAAAUGUGUACCGACUUCAGCCU